Molecule: ribosomal RNA, 518 nt
Filed under: uncultured bacterium
Lineage: Bacteria
Description: bacterial SSU rRNA
Rfam family: Bacterial small subunit ribosomal RNA
Source: RNAcentral
UAGGUGUAGGAGGUAUCGACCCCUUCUGUGCCGCAGUUAACACAAUAAGCAUUCCGCCUGGGGAGUACGGUCGCAAGAUUAAAACUCAAAGGAAUUGACGGGGGCCCGCACAAGCAGCGGAGCAUGUGGUUUAAUUCGACGCAACGCGAAGAACCUUACCAGGUCUUGACAUCCAGUUAAAGCUGUUGAAAGAUAGUGUCCCUUCGGGGGAACUGAGACAGGUGGUGCAUGGUUGUCGUCAGCUCGUGUCGUGAGAUGUUGGGUUAAGUCCCGCAACGAGCGCAACCCUUAUUGAUAGUUACUAACGCGUAGAGGCGAGGACUCUAUUGAGACUGCCGGGGACAACUCGGAGGAAGGUGGGGACGACGUCAAAUCAUCAUGCCCCUUAUGACCUGGGCUACACACGUGCUACAAUGGCCGAUACAGAGAGAAGCGAAAGCGCGAGCCGGAGCGGAUCUCACAAAAGCGGUCGAAGUUCGGAUUGUGGGCUGCAACCCGCCCACAUGAAGUCGGAGUUG